This 654-nucleotide ribosomal RNA is filed under the name uncultured archaeon. Its description in RNAcentral is "bacterial SSU rRNA". It matches the Rfam family "Archaeal small subunit ribosomal RNA", at positions 508 to 1160 of the family's 1478-position model. The record is from RNAcentral.
GCCUAAAGCGUCCGUAGCCGGCUUUGUAAGCUUUCGGUUAAAUCUAUAUGCUCAACAUAUAGGCUGCCGGGAAUACUGCAAAGCUAGGGAGUGGGAGAGGUAGACGGUACUCCGUAGGAAGGGGUAAAAUCCUUUGAUCUAUGGAUGACCACCUGUGGCGAAGGCGGUCUACCAGAACACGUUCGACGGUGAGGGAUGAAAGCUGGGGGAGCAAACCGGAUUAGAUACCCGGGUAGUCCCAGCUGUAAACUAUGCAAACUCAGUGAUGCAUUGGCUUGUGGCCAGUGCAGUGCCGCAGGGAAGCCGUUAAGUUUGCCGCCUGGGAAGUACGUACGCAAGUAUGAAACUUAAAGGAAUUGGCGGGGGAGCACCACAAGGGGUGAAGCCUGCGGUUCAAUUGGAGUCAACGCCAGAAAUCUUACCCGGAGAGACUGCAGGAUGAAGGUCAAGCUGAAGACUUUACCAGACAAGCUGAGAAGUGGUGCAUGGCCGUCGCCAGCUCGUGCCGUGAGGUGUCCUGUUAAGUCAGGUAACGAGCGAGAUCCUUGCCUCUAGUUGCCACCAUUACUCUCAGGAGUAGUGGGGCGAAUUAGCGGGACUGCCGUAGUUAAUACGGAGGAAGGAGAGGGCCACGGCAGGUCAGUAUGCCCCGAA